RNAcentral lists this transfer RNA (73 nucleotides) under Scleropages formosus (Asian bonytongue). Its description in RNAcentral is "tRNA-Gln". The record is from RNAcentral. Lineage: Eukaryota; Metazoa; Chordata; Actinopteri; Osteoglossiformes; Osteoglossidae.
AGCUGGUAGCAUACUGGUUAGCGCUACUGCCUUUGAACCAAUAGGUUGUAGGUUUGCUCCCUACCUCUGGUUG